UACGGGGGGAGCAAGCGUUGUUCGGAUUUACUGGGCGUAAAGGGCGCGUAGGCGGCCUGUGCAAGUCAGUUGUGAAAUCUCCGAGCUUAACUCGGAACGGUCAACUGAUACUGCUCGGCUAGAGUGCGGAAGGGGCAACUGGAAUUCUUGGUGUAGCGGUGAAAUGCGUAGAUAUCAAGAGGAACACCUGCGGCGAAGGCGGGUUGCUGGGCCGACACUGACGCUGAGGCGCGGAAGCUAGGGGAGCGAACGGG
RNAcentral lists this ribosomal RNA (254 nucleotides) under uncultured bacterium. RNAcentral's name for it is "partial 16S ribosomal RNA". It matches the Rfam family "Bacterial small subunit ribosomal RNA", at positions 524 to 776 of the family's 1533-position model. The record is from RNAcentral.